Molecule: ribosomal RNA, 253 nt
Filed under: uncultured bacterium
Lineage: Bacteria
Description: partial 16S ribosomal RNA
Rfam family: Bacterial small subunit ribosomal RNA
Source: RNAcentral
UACGGGGGGUGCGAGCGUUAAUCGGAAUUACUGGGCGUAAAGGGCACGCAGGCGGUCUUUUAAGUGAGGUGUGAAAUCCCCGAGCUUAACCUGGGAAUUGCAUUUGAUACUGGUAGUCUAGAGUACUGUAGGGGGGGGUAGAAUUCCACGUGUAGCGGUGAAAUGCGUAGAGAUGUGGAGGAAUACCGGUGGCGAAGGCGGCCCCUUGGGAAUAGACUGACGCUCAGGUGCGAAAGCGUGGGGAGCAAACAGG